RNAcentral lists this ribosomal RNA (273 nucleotides) under uncultured Staphylococcus sp. Its description in RNAcentral is "partial 16S ribosomal RNA". It matches the Rfam family "Bacterial small subunit ribosomal RNA", at positions 89 to 356 of the family's 1533-position model. Lineage: Bacteria; Bacillati; Bacillota; Bacilli; Caryophanales; Staphylococcaceae. The record is from RNAcentral.
ACGUUAGCGGCGGACGGGUGAGUAACACGUGGGUAACCUACCUAUAAGACUGGGAUAACUCCGGGAAACCGGGGCUAAUACCGGAUAACACAUGAAACCGCAUGGUUUCAUGAUGAAAGACGGUUUUGCUGUCACUUAUAGAUGGACCCGCGGCGUAUUAGCUAGUUGGUAAGGUAACGGCUUACCAAGGCAACGAUACGUAGCCGACCUGAGAGGGUGAUCGGCCACACUGGAACUGAGACACGGUCCAGACUCCUACGGGAGGCAGCAGUG